This 211-nucleotide unclassified non-coding RNA is filed under the name plant metagenome. RNAcentral describes it as "partial contains small subunit ribosomal RNA, internal transcribed spacer 1, and 5.8S ribosomal RNA". The record is from RNAcentral.
UUUCCGUAGGUGAACCUGCGGAAGGAUCAUUCAUAAUAAAGUGUUUUAUGGCACUUUUUAAAAAUCCAUAUCCACCUUGUGUGCAAUGUUAGAUCUCGUCAAUCUUGGCGAGAUUUUUAUACAUCAACUCAUUUUUUAACUAAUUUGUCUGAAAAACAUUAUGAAUACUUAAUUCAAAAUACAACUUUCAACAACGGAUCUCUUGGCUCUC